GUCGAACGCAUCCUUCGGGGUGAGUGGCAGACGGGUGAGUAACGCGCUGGGAAUCUACCCAUCCCUACGGGAUAGCUCCGGGAAACUGGAGAUAAUACCGUAUACGUCCUCCGGGAGAAAGAUUUAUCGGGGAUGGAUGAGCCCGCGUUGGAUUAGCUAGUUGGUGGGGUAAUGGCCUACCAAGGCGACGAUCCAUAGCUGGUCUAAGAGGAUGAUCAGCCACAUUGGGACUGAGACACGGCCCAAACUCCUACGGGAGGCAGCAGUGGGGAAUAUUGGACAAUGGGCGCAAGCCUGAUCCAGCCAUGCCGCGUGAGUGAUGAAGGCCCUAGGGUUGUAAAGCUCUUUCAGUGGGGACGAUAAUGACGGUACCCACAGAAGAAGCCCCGGCUAACUUCGUGCCAGCAGCCGCGGUAAUACGAAGG
RNAcentral lists this ribosomal RNA (425 nucleotides) under Aurantimonas sp. Ar-27. Its description in RNAcentral is "bacterial SSU rRNA". It matches the Rfam family "Bacterial small subunit ribosomal RNA", at positions 61 to 531 of the family's 1533-position model. Lineage: Bacteria; Pseudomonadati; Pseudomonadota; Alphaproteobacteria; Hyphomicrobiales; Aurantimonadaceae. The record is from RNAcentral.